This 489-nucleotide ribosomal RNA is filed under the name uncultured bacterium. RNAcentral describes it as "partial 16S ribosomal RNA". It matches the Rfam family "Bacterial small subunit ribosomal RNA", at positions 28 to 507 of the family's 1533-position model. The record is from RNAcentral.
GACGAACGCUGGCGGCGUGCUUAACACAUGCAAGUCGAACGGAUAGGCCCCCAUCUUGGUGGGGGUGCUCGAGUGGCGAACGGGUGAGUAACACGUGGGUGAUCUGCCCUGUACUUCGGGAUAAGCUUGGGAAACUGGGUCUAAUACCGGAUAGGACCAUGGUUUAGUGUCUCAUGGUGGAAAGAUUAUUGUUUUGGUGCAGGAUGAGCUCGCGGCCUAUCAGCUUGUUGGUGGGGUAAUGGCCUACCAAGGCGUCGACGGGUAGCCGGCCUGAGAGGGUGGACGGCCACAUUGGGACUGAGAUACGGCCCAGACUCCUACGGGAGGCAGCAGUGGGGAAUAUUGCACAAUGGGCGCAAGCCUGAUGCAGCGACGCCGCGUGGGGGAUGACGGCCUUCGGGUUGUAAACUCCUUUCGUUAGGGACGAAGCCGCACUUUUUUUGGGUGUGGUGACGGUACCUUUGUUAAGAAGCACCGGCUAACUACGUG